This 253-nucleotide ribosomal RNA is filed under the name uncultured bacterium. RNAcentral describes it as "partial 16S ribosomal RNA". It matches the Rfam family "Bacterial small subunit ribosomal RNA", at positions 524 to 776 of the family's 1533-position model. The record is from RNAcentral.
UACGUAGGGUGCGAGCGUUGUCCGGAAUUAUUGGGCGUAAAGAGCGUGUAGGCGGCCAGAUAGGUCCGUUGUGAAAACUCGAGGCUCAACCUCGAGACGCCGAUGGAAACCAUUUGGCUAGAGUCCGGAAGAGGAGAGUGGAAUUCCUGGUGUAGCGGUGAAAUGCGCAGAUAUCAGGAAGAACACCCGUGGCUAAGGCGGCUCUCUAGUACGGUACUGACGCUGAGACGCGAAAGCGUGGGGAGCGAACAGG